AGAAGAUUGUGAGCCAAAUUAAUGAUCUACUAGCAGCAUAAAUGGCUAGCUUAUGCAUUUUGGCUGUAACAAAGGUCCCAAUUAAAUUUCUAACUAUAUAUCUUAUGUGACAUAUCUUGUAUAGUUUGUGCCCUAUUUAAAUGAUGUUAGCUUAGGGAAUAUUUGGAUGGCAUUGCUUAGCUAAUGUAAGACUUUAUAAGGAUUUAAUUACAUGUUGAAGGUUUAAAAUUUUACAUUUUAGUGGUAUUUGACAUUUCGUUUACAAUUUAAAAUAAUAAUAAUGUUCCGUAAGUACGGUUUAGAUGGUAAAAGAUUAUAUGAACGUUUGAUAUGUUGGAA
This 339-nucleotide long non-coding RNA is filed under the name Trifolium pratense (red clover). Its description in RNAcentral is "long non-coding RNA (TPRA_LNC013800)". The record is from RNAcentral. Lineage: Eukaryota; Viridiplantae; Streptophyta; Magnoliopsida; Fabales; Fabaceae.